CAACAGCUAGAGUUUGAUCCUGGCUCAGGACGAACGCUGGCGGCGUGCCUAACACAUGCAAGUCGAGCGGACCGACCCGCCUCUUCGGAGACGGGGACAGGUCAGCGGCGAACGGGUGAGUAACACGUGGGCAACCUGCCCCGAAGAUCGGGAUAACUCCGGGAAACCGGGGCUAAUACCGGAUACCUUGGCUUUACCGCAUGGCGGAGCCAAGAAAGGUAGCUUUGCUUCCGCUUCGGGAUGGGCCCGCGUCCCAUUAGCUUGUUGCGGGUAACGGCCACCAAGGCGACGAUGGGUAGCCGGCCUGAGAGGGUGUACGGCCACACUGGGACUGAGAUACGGCCCAGACUCCUACGGGAGGCAGCAGUGAGGAAUAUUGCGCAAUGGGCGAAAGCCUGACGCAGCGACGCCGCGUGGACGACGAAGGCCUUCGGGUUGUAAAGUCCUGUCAGGAGGGACGAAGUGGCUUCGGCCAUGACGGUACCUCGGUAGGAAGCUCCGGCUAAACUACGUGCC
Molecule: ribosomal RNA, 516 nt
Filed under: uncultured bacterium
Lineage: Bacteria
Description: bacterial SSU rRNA
Rfam family: Bacterial small subunit ribosomal RNA
Source: RNAcentral